RNAcentral lists this ribosomal RNA (460 nucleotides) under uncultured bacterium. RNAcentral describes it as "partial 16S ribosomal RNA". It matches the Rfam family "Bacterial small subunit ribosomal RNA", at positions 338 to 795 of the family's 1533-position model. The record is from RNAcentral.
CCUACGGGUGGCAGCAGUGAGGAAUAUUGGUCAAUGGACGCAAGUCUGAACCAGCCAUGCCGCGUGCAGGAAGACGGCUCUAUGAAUUGUAAGCUGCUUUUGUACGAGGGUAAACGCAGAUACGCGUAUCUGUCUGAACGGAUCGUACGAACAAGGAUCGGCUAACUCCGUGCAUGCAGCCGCGGUAAUACGGAGGAUUCAAGCGUUAUCCGGAUUUAGUGGGUUUAAAGGGUGCGUAGGCGGUCGGUUAAGUUAGAGGUUAAAUCCCGAGGCUCAACUUCGGAAUUGCCUCUGAUACGGUUCGGCUAGAGAGUAGUUGCGGUAGGCGGAAUGUAUGGUGUAGCGGUGAAAUGCUUAGAGAUCAUACAGAACACCGGUUGCGAAGGCAGCUUACCAAGCUACUUCUGACGUUGAGGCACGAAAGCGUGGGGAGCAAACAGGAUUAGAUACCCCUGUAGUC